AAAAUUCUUUAUAAUGAAUGGGUAUUUACAAGUUCACUUCAUUGAAUAAAAAUCUGUCUUUUCAUUUUAGAUAUUGCCAAAAUGCAGGAAGCAAUUUCCUUUAAGUAAUUUGGAAAGCAAACCAAACAAGGCGCUGAUUUGCUGAUGCUGCCCAUUGUUUUUGUAUGUACUUCUCAAUGGCAAGAGUUGCCGCAGGCGUUGACGGCGGAGGUGUCACCAUCAAAACCAUUAGAAACAACACCACCAAGUCAAUGCAAGUGGAAGUUUUGCCAUGUAAUAGUCGACCGCUGACGCCCUUCUCCAUCAAUUGUGUAAGUACGCAUCGAAACAUUCAUAUCGUAGUCAACUAGCUUAAUCUUCAUCUUCUAGGUGUAAAGAGUUUACUACCAGUCUGCAGUUCUGCAAGAGACGCAAGAAAAACAAGAAUACAAUCGCAGGAACUCAAAAAUUGUCCAACCUUGACUGUAAGAGAGUUCAAAUUUUAAAUCUACAACAAAUCCAUUUAUUUUGCUCCUAAGAAUCGCACUGGCUUAACGGUGGCAAUCAUUCGGAGGCAAAUGAGCUGGCCCGACAAGAAUCCCCAAGAAGCCAAACAGAUUCAGAUCAGUCUCUCGGCAACUACUGACGAUGUCGGC
Long non-coding RNA from Eupeodes corollae, 635 nucleotides. RefSeq lists it as uncharacterized. NCBI's taxonomy places the organism in Eukaryota, Metazoa, Arthropoda, Insecta, Diptera, Syrphidae. The transcript is spliced from 3 exons. The record is from RefSeq and is a predicted model, not a curated record.